Molecule: unclassified non-coding RNA, 1361 nt
Filed under: Pallenis hierochuntica
Lineage: Eukaryota; Viridiplantae; Streptophyta; Magnoliopsida; Asterales; Asteraceae
Description: external transcribed spacer
Source: RNAcentral
UAUAUAUAGGGGGGUGGCGAGAGCUGGUAGCCAGAUGCUUUGUCCUGCUGUUGCUGGAGGAUUUCAACCCGCCCGACCCUAGACGCUAAACGAGCCAACCGUGUUUUGCGUCGUGGUAUUUGAUGCUUUCUUUGUGAUCCUAGUCGGAAAAUGUGGCUCGUUGCUCCAGAUCGUUUUAGGAUUUGCCACACCUUCGGCUGGGUGAUCUGGAUUGCAGAAAUGCCGAAUGUCCCUAUCGAUGAAACAUAUGGCGUUGUGGGCCUCGCAACGGUUUUGGUACGUGCUUGUGGUAUGAUCUCGUGACAAAUCAUUACUCGUCACUCAAGCUUGACUAGUGACUUGUUUUGAGAUGUUUGAGGUGACGGUGAGCAUGACGAGGCAUGUAGGAAUUGUUGUGAAGGUCGAGAUGUCUCUCGACCCGAUCAACUAUGACAACGUCAUUAAGUAGUCUAGCUUGUUGAUCCGAGUUUGAUCCAUGAACUGCUUCCAAAUUGUUGUUUUGGGGCUUGUCUUGCUAAAGACUUUUUGAUUGAAGCUAGUCGAAACUGACGGGGACCCUUUUUUUGAUGAAAAACCUUCGGCGUUGUGGGUCUUGCAACGCCAUAGUUAUUUGCUUGCCAGACGAACCUAGUACGAAGCAUUACUCGUCACACGAGCUUUGCUAGUGACUUGUUUUGCCAAAGUCAUGGUGACUCGGUUUGCAUGACGACGCAUGUCGGAUUCGUUGGUUGUUAUUCUCUUCGCAUCGUUCGGUGCAUCCUGGGAGAUGUUCAGACCUUUGGUUGCUUGCUUGGCUUCUAUGCCUUGUGGGUGGCUAAUUGUUUGUCGUUUUUCGGGGAUGAUUACCGUAAAGGUGCAUGAGUGGUGUUUGGUUUGUUUCCGGUGGUUGGCUCUCUGCUUUUGCAACAACUUCCACCGGGCAUUCCUCUUCAGUUUUGCGUCAAGGUUGCAUUUCCUUGAGCGCUUAUGGUUUUGUGUGUUGCUUACCUACAUGACGGCAUGGGUUGAUUACAUCAAAGUCGUGUUUCAUCAUUUGUCAUAUCUAUGGCGUAGGAUGAACCUCGAAGCUGCUUUCUAUGGUCCACCUUGUCGAUGCACACGCGUUGAUGUUGUGGCUCAUUGAGUUCCGCUUGUUUUUCUGGAUACAGAACGUGAUAUGGGUGUGGGUCUUACGUGAUCCUUGUUUUGCCCUUGUUGAACGUUGUUAUUACUCUGAGAUCACCGCCUAUCCUAAAAUGGCUCGUACCAUUGGGAUAGGUUAAGAUGUGUAGGAGCAAUAAUAGCGUUCAUGCUUCUCUAAAAAGACGGCCUCGCCUGCAUUGGCUUUGUACAAGCGGGUAGGCUAUGUCAAAUAGGGAUGC